This 364-nucleotide ribosomal RNA is filed under the name uncultured eukaryote. RNAcentral's name for it is "SSU rRNA". It matches the Rfam family "Eukaryotic small subunit ribosomal RNA", at positions 587 to 973 of the family's 1831-position model. The record is from RNAcentral.
AGCUCCAGAAGCAUAUAUUAAUGUUGUUGCAGUUGUAUGCUCCUAGUCUAUUUUGUAUUGGGUUGUUGUUUGUAUGUUGUCUGUGCACUUUGUGUAGUUUGAUGGCAUACGCCUAAUUUUUUUGGAGUUCUUUUUAUAAGUUGCUUCAUCUUUUACUGAGACUAAAUGGGGAUGUUCCAUGUAGACUAGCGUCUGUACCAUACAGCUUGGAAUAAUACGUUAGGACUUUUGAUUGCGUUGACGCUUUGAAAAGUAAUAAGUGAUAGGAGCCGACGGGGGUGCUUGUAUUUGAGAGCCAGAGGUGAAAUUCUCGGACUUCUCAAAGACAGUCUCAUGCGAAAGCGUUCACCAAGAAGGUUUCCGU